RNAcentral lists this ribosomal RNA (305 nucleotides) under uncultured bacterium. RNAcentral describes it as "bacterial SSU rRNA". It matches the Rfam family "Bacterial small subunit ribosomal RNA", at positions 333 to 656 of the family's 1533-position model. The record is from RNAcentral.
CGACUCCUCGGGAGCAGCAGUGGGGAAUAUUGCACAAUGGGGGAAACCCUGUUGCAGCAACGCCGCGUGAGUGAGGAAGUAUUUCGGUAUGUAAAGCUCUAUCAGUAGGGAAGAAGAAAGACGGUACCUGACUAAGAAGCCCCGGCUAACUACGUGCCAGCAGCCGCGGUAAUACGUAGGGGGCAAGCGUUAUCCGGAUUUACUGGGUGUAAAGGGAGCGUAGACGGCAUAGCAAGUCUGAAGUGAAAGCCCGUGGCUCAACCGCGGAACUGCUUUGGAAACUGUUAAGCUGGAGUACUGGAGAG